AACCAUAGAAACCUGCGGAGUACCUGCGGAGGGAUCAUUAACGAAUCGUUAUGGACUUGGCUGUCGCUGGCUCUCUCUGGGAGCAUGUGCACGCCUUGUUCAAAAACUUUUCAUUCUUUUUUUAAUCCCCUGUGCACUCUUGUGGAUUGUGGAUGGAGCUUUGUCAAAGUAACUUUUGGUCUUGGGGAUUGUGCUUUAAACGGUGCUAUUCCCUACUUUUCCAUCCGCGGUUCAUGUCUU
RNAcentral lists this unclassified non-coding RNA (240 nucleotides) under soil metagenome. Its description in RNAcentral is "partial contains 5.8S ribosomal RNA, internal transcribed spacer 2, and large subunit ribosomal RNA". The record is from RNAcentral.